GGUCCGGCCGCCCCAGCGCCCGGCGCGGGAGCGAAGCGGAGCGGGACGCCGAGUCCCGAGCGGCCGGCGGCCGGGGCUCCCCGCCCCUCCCUCCUCUCCGGCGGCGGCGGGCGGAGUGAGCUGCGGAGCCUGGAAUAUGGUCGGGGAAAUGGAAACGAAGGAGAAGCCGAAGCCCACCCCAGAUUACCUGAUGCAGCUGAUGAACGACAAGAAGCUCAUGAGCAGCCUGCCCAACUUCUGCGGGAUCUUCAACCACCUCGAGCGGCUGCUGGACGAAGAAAUUAGCAGAGUACGGAAAGACAUGUACAAUGACACAUUAAAUGGCAGUACAGAGAAAAGGAGUGCAGAGUUGCCUGAUGCUGUGGGACCUAUUGUUCAGUUACAAGAGAAACUUUAUGUGCCUGUAAAAGAAUACCCAGAUUUUAAUUUUGUUGGGAGAAUCCUUGGACCUAGAGGACUAACAGCUAAACAGCUUGAAGCAGAAACAGGAUGUAAAAUAAUGGUCCGAGGCAAAGGCUCAAUGAGGGAUAAAAAGAAGGAGGAGCAAAAUAGAGGCAAGCCCAAUUGGGAGCAUCUCAACGAAGAUUUACAUGUACUGAUCACUGUGGAAGACGCUCAAAACAGAGCAGAGAUCAAACUGAAGAGAGCCGUUGAAGAAGUGAAGAAAUUACUGGUACCUGCAGCAGAGGGAGAAGACAGCCUGAAGAAGAUGCAGCUGAUGGAGCUCGCGAUUCUGAAUGGCACCUACAGAGAUGCCAACAUUAAAUCACCAGCCCUUGCCUUUUCUCUUGCAGCAACAGCCCAGGCUGCUCCAAGGAUUAUUACUGGGCCUGCGCCUGUUCUCCCACCAGCUGCCCUGCGUACUCCUACGCCAGCUGGCCCUACCAUAAUGCCUUUGAUCAGACAAAUACAGACCGCGGUCAUGCCAAACGGAACUCCUCACCCAACUGCUGCAAUAGUUCCUCCAGGGCCAGAAGCUGGUUUAAUCUACACGCCCUAUGAAUACCCCUACACGUUGGCGCCAGCUACGUCAAUCCUUGAGUAUCCUAUUGAACCUAGUGGUGUAUUAGGUAUGGCUUUCCCAACGAAAGGCUAAGAAUUCAAGAACGGUCUUAACUGAACCCUCAUCAGAUCUGAAUUUAACAAAUGCUUAGUCUCAGCAGCCUUCGGGGGUGGGGUGGGAGGAAAGCUUAGCCUAGCAGUCAGUGACUUACUUGCACUUUUUGCACACUGAUAGAAAGUAAAAGUAUGUUAUUAAUUUGGUUUAGUCUGUAAUCUUACAAAGUAACGGUAAUUUUAAAGGAGUGUGUAGUAGUAUACUGACUGCUAAGUGUACUAUACUGUUUGCUUUACUAAUCACCUAAUUCAUUGCAGUUCAUACUUAUUGACUCAAAAGUUUAAAACCACAAUCUGUAGGCUUUAAGAAUUGCUUUUAAACCUUUUUAAGUGAUAAACUCUGGAAGUGUUCUUAAGGUUUAGGAAACAAUUGUCAGUAUUAAACAUGGUAUUAUUUAAGUAGUCCUGCUGCAAGAAGGCACUUCAGUGAAUAUGUGACUAGUAAAGCUUGAAUAUGUUUGGAUCUAAUAGCAUUCAUGAAAUACUGUAACUUGGGAUUGUAAAUGAAUGGAUGAAAUAGGUUAAGGCCAAGAUGUUUGAAAUAAAUGCAAUAUUAAUAGACGCAUAUAUACGCAACAUACUAUGGUUAAUUUUAAAACUACUGUGCCUUAAGGUGUUUUUUAAAACGAAACUUUUGUAGUAAAUUAACAUUUGAAAUCCAUUUUGAUAAACCUGCUGUUAAUGUUUGUUUUCUUUUCCCUUGUGAAUGUUUUCUAACUUUGUCUUGGUAAUUGCAAUUUAACUAGGUGCGGUGGCUACUAAAGUUCGAAGGCACGAUAUGCGUGUCCAUCCUUACCAAAGGAUUGUGACCGCAGACCGAGCCGCCACCGGCAACUAACCUAUGACCUUCUGACCUCUGAACUCUUCACCCAAUGAUGACCUGACCAUGCCUGCCUGCUGAUCAGUUAACUGGUAAUCGCCUUUGCUUGCCUGUCGUCAGUGCAGCGAGCUGAGGCACUUGUCCGUUCGUCUUACCAUCUAACCAAACAAAAGACAAAGAAAUUGUUGUCCUCCAACUCAGCUUUUGGUUCUUUUUUUUUUUCUUUUUUUUUUUUUUCCUGUUUGGGUGAAAGUGGUUCUAGAAACUGCACUGAAUAGUAGUAAAGCAAUAAGGCCCAAUUCAUCCCACAGCACUGGUCAUCUUUUAAAGUCCCACCCUAAGCGAACGGUAAGAAGGCCUCACUUCAGAAGGGGAGACAGAUGGCCCUUAACUACUCAGUGACAGAGGCAGUUACUGUGAGAGACUUGUAGGAAUCUCUUCUUCUCAUAGCGAGUCUAAGCUCUCUGAAUGUACUGUGUGGUGAUGCAUCAUGCAUGAACCUUUGGUCAGGGAUGUCAUUGGUGAAGUGAUUUCAAAAAGUAUUCAAAAUUUGAUACGCUGUUUCGUCUCUACAGUGCCCUCAGAGGGCAGAAGUUGCAGCCUUUUUUAUAUUGCCUGCCAAAAUUUGAAGUAUUAGAAGUGUGCCAUGAGAGAACAACUUAACAAGGAAUUUUGAAAAGUAAUGCAAAGAACAAAACUGCAACACUAUUUUUAAAAAGAGAAAUAUCUGAGUUAAAAUUACUGAACCUUUAUUUUACACCUUAAAAAAAUAUAUGAGAACAAGGUACAUGCAUUAUGUGUCACAUUACUGGGCAAACUGUUCAAAUAUUUUUUUUAAACCUCCCUGUAUAGAAAAAAUCAUUAAGGAUGUAAAAGCCAUGCUUGCCUAUUUGCUGUAUACAUGUAAUGAAAUUGUAGAUAAAAGUGUAGUGCAUUGAAACAAAUGAUCAAAAGUAGAUACUUUUACUAUACAAGGGUGCUGGUGCAGAAAAAAAUAUAUAUAUUUUUGGAAAUGUAGCAUUUUAUACUUUCAAGUGUUAUAAAAAAAAAAGAAAAAGAACAAAGAAACCCUUUAUUUCAUUAAAUGAUUUUUUCUGGUGGUUGUCAAGAAACAAAAGACCAAAAGAGCCUUUUUGUCUUUCUUUUUUAUUUUUUAAGUAUUGGAAUAAGUCUAAAGAAAAGAAAGUGCCUUAUUUUUCUUCAUGGUCAUUUAGUCAAGUGUCUCAUAAGAUCAGCUCCUCCCUCGGAAUACAAGUUCAUACAUGUUAUUCAGUGCCCAGUAUGUGCAAGAAGAUAUGAGGGGAGACAAAUGAGUUGAUGGUUUGAAUUAUAUAAUUUUUGCCACGUUACCUUGAUAUAAAUUUGCCAAAUCUGAUACUGUGAAAUAAUUUGAUAAUUUUUCUAAUGCCUAACAAGUAAGUUUUAAAACAUCAUUCUUUUAAAAUCAUAAUUGAUUGCUUUCAGUUAUUGCAAUAUUUAAUGUUAGCCCAAAGGAUUCUGAGAUAAAAAUUAUGUGUGAUUUGAACAUCAGUUUACAGACAAAAUUAUAACUUUGUUUUAUUCGGAGAAGGGGAUGUAUGUUGGAUUCUAUCUUAUUAAUUGGAAGUUAAUAGUGUACUUAGCAAACAUUUUCACAAAAAGGAAUCUUUGUGAUUUUCAUCCUGGAAAAUAAUGUUUUUUAAAUGACCCAAACUUAAUGAGACUUCUUUCUACCACACUAGAUCACUUGGGUCGUCCAUCUCUGCUGGUCUUAGUAACCAACCUAAGCUGCCCCACCCCACGCACAUUUUUUUUUUUAACUAUAAAAGAAUGUGAAAAACUAGCAUUGUGCAUAUAAACACUCAACUACAUAUGAGUUGAAGCUUCCAAUUUGUCAUGAAAUUCAGUUAGUUUUUGUAGUUGAAGCUAUUUGUGCACAGAGCCUCUAUCUAAACACUUUUAGUGAGUAGUCAUUAACUGCUCAGUACCAGACGUGGCAAAUACCUAGGGCAGUGGGUCCCCAGCUCAUCAACUCGUUCCCUCUUCCAUACCUUCCCAGUCAAAGGUCAGCAGUAAGCUCAGUCAGCACCUUCGUGGUGACCUCCAUCACCUGGUCUCACUUGGAAACCGGUUUCAGUUUAUUUACUAUGCAAUAGACAUUCAUUGCUUUGUAUCGGCUAGCUUUGGUUCCAUGUGCCACUGCUUUGUCUUUCUGUUACACAUACAGUUGUUUUGGUUUAUUUACAAUAUAUGCUGUGCCAUUUUGGUUUUUAUUUUGUUUGGUUGGUGAAUAAAUUUGCGACACUCAAACACUUGAGGUGGUAGUAGUUUAAAAACGAUACCAGUAUUUGAUCCAGUUUCAUCUCAACUAUGUUAUACCUGGACAUUUUAGACGUUUAUCAAAGGUCUUUUAUGGGGAAGAAAGUAAAUGUAUGAAAUACAUGUGUGACAUUUAUGAGUAAUGUUGGCUCUGAACAAACUUUUGAAAACUUAGUUGACACAAUUUUGGAUCAACUGAAAAAAAAAAGCAUGACUUUUGAAAUCUCUGAAUGCCUUGGUUCUCAGUAUUAUCAUUCUUUAUUGAAUUUAUUUCUUAUUAAAAUAUGUAGUUUUUAAGACUUUUUUUGACAGUAUUAUGUAAUUUUUUAGCGUGGGUAGAUGGGAGUGUCGCUUGUAUGUUACCGUACAGCUGACAUGUAUUUUUGUCUAUUCUUUAUUAUCUUAGUAGUUUCAUGCUGUGUAUGUACCAUAACCAACCUAUUGCCUAUGAGAAACAUGUAAGAUAAUGUAUUUACAGCCAUUGUUACAAGUUUAUAAUGUAUUUUUCUAUCUUGUUUUAUAUGUAUGUUAUAUAACAUUCAAAAAGAAUUUUUUUCUUGAUUGAGAAAAGGAUACAAAAUGCAAAAUCCACAAUUUUGAUAUCUGAAAAUUGCCAAUUGUUUUGCAGUACUUUAUUAUAUUGGGUGUCGUGUCUUUCUUGGGCUUUUUAGUUAGCUAAUGAAUGAAUACAUUAGACACUUUUGGGUUUUAGUUGGGAUUUUACAUAGCUUGCAUUUUAAUUCUUUGGUUCUUUGCUGUUUCUAUUAACCCAUGGCAUUAUUUUAAUAAAUGUUAUAAUACCAACCUACUAACUCUGGACUAUGUCUGUUUAUUAACAUUUACGUGUUUAAUUAAAUAAACAAAUAAAGACAAAAGAAUGUAAAGUCUUGAAUUACUGCACUAACCCUGAAGAACGUGACCACAGAUAACAUAGCGUGACGUGUUUUUUUGUUGUUUGUCAGCUGACAAUUCCGCACACUACUGUUAAAAUGGCUUUGGUUAUUCUUUUCCCUUGUGGGGGAGAUGCCGGUAGAGACGGGAACAAAAUAGCUUUGGUUCGAGGCCAUCUUCUUCUAGUCUUGCCACUUGCCUUUCGGCCUCUGCAUUACUAAUUCCACACUUUCUUAUUCUUCCUUCUCCAAAAUAAUCACUGUCUGCUCACAGUAUAAAGAGUACAGAGAUUCGUUGUAACGAAGUCCCCAAGAAACCAGUUUGAUUCUUUGUUGAACCGUUUCUUUUAAUUUCUAUAAGCAGGUAAUGUUAUGGUUACGUUACAAAGCAAAGAAUUUGCUGAGGUUUUGUCUUUUCAGAUUUAUGUUUUAAUUGGACGCAUUUCCUUUACACAGUGUUGAUCUGUUUUAGCCAGCUGUUCCUUUGGGGGCGCUCACCACAGGUGAAGCCAGAGGUGGAGUGGCCCUGUUUCUCACAACAGCCGUUGACCGUGACAAUCCACCCCACGUGACUCUGCCCCAGAUACCAGACAGUCCUCAGGUGUUCUCUCUCUCUCACCUGCUAGAGUGCAGUCAGAAUACACCAUUACUACAGGAAGUUGAAGGGACAAGGAAACUGGCAUUUGGGAAAUGAGAUAGCAUUAAAGUUGCUUGCGUGCAAGUGAGUUUAAGAAGCUUCAUUCGAUAUCUUCAUGCCUUUCUUGCCUGCAGCCUAGGUAAAUUGCUAGGAAUUCUUGCGUUUAACUCUUGAAGUGCGUUUUUAUUUCACAGAUGUUGGUAAUCUCCUUUUCUGUGAAGCAGUUCUGGAUAAUAAAUUCUUAGGGUGAAUUUUUGCAUUUGUAAAUAAUGGCUUAUUUUUGUAAAUUAUGUUUUAUUUAUUUUAAAGUUCUAAAAUUUGGGGCUGAAAUGAGUCGCAUGUCAUAGAAGACAUAGCUAACUGCCUGUACCAAUAUGCUUGUAACCAGUCAUACUGUCCAAGUAUCCCCAUAUUUAUUUAUUCCCAUAGUAUAUGUACAUACGUGAAAUACAUAGGAUAGUGAUAACAGCUGAUUGAAUCGUAAUUGAGAUGGUCAUAUGAAUUGUUUAUCUCGGGGGGUGUUUAUUAUCGGUAGGUAGACAGAGCUUUAAUAUACUACCAUCUGUAAAAAUUCUCAUUGCCAUACAGUUCAUAUAUUAUUCUGUAGGAAUCUGAAGAUGUCUGUCAAGCUGCUAUACACAAGUCAUGGUACCAUGUCACUUAGCUUGAUGAAUUUCUGUGCACUUACUGUACAGUCUCUGACACCUGUGGAUGCAGUCUCGUCUCACUUUCAGUUGAGUGUACUUUAUAAUCAUGUCCUAUUGUCACCUUUUACAUGUGGAAAAGUUGCAAAAUGCCCUUUUUAAAAGGUGAAAAUAACAUUACAAAUCCCAUUUUUAUUCAGUCUGUGAUAGUAUUUAAACAUGAAAUUAACUGAAUUCUUAGAAUGAUAAAAUGCUAGAGUCAGUAUUUUUUACUAUUUAGUAAAACAAUUGAAAGUUAAGCUUUCACUCAAGAAGUUGGUCAGAUUAACGUAGUUAGUAAGUAGUUAAUGCUUUUUUAAUUCUCAGGCAAAGUGUCAAAUAAUGAAGGUCCGAUGAAAGUAGACACUCAACAUCCACCCUCGUGCAGUUGCUUCACGCUCGACAGAGCCCGCCUAAGGGGCCCCCCGUGAAGCCACGCUGUGCGUUGGUGUACACAGCAUAGGUAGGGAGGUCAAGUUUUCUGAGUAAACACUAGAUAAAUAUGAAGGAUCUAAAUUUUCUAGUGCAUCAAAAGCAGACAGUAGGUUUAAAUGAAAUUGUUCAUUACCAAAUCAAGAAUCUUUUUUACCAGCGUAGCCUAACACUUUUAUUAUAUAUGAGAGUUCCUCCUGUCUUGGGGUGGGGAGAGGUGAAGGGCGGGGUUGUUUGCUUGUUUGGGAUGAGAGGUCUGUAUUCCUUGAUAACAGUUACAGUAUUUCCAGUAAGUGAUUUUUAAUAGGAUGAAGAGGAUUGCUAAAUUACAAUCCAUUACUUAAUAGCAAAAAUUACUCAAAACUUUUGGGACUUAAAAACUGUAAGAAGUACAUAAGGUAAUUUUUUAACAUCACAAAUUCCCUAAUACUUUUAUUUAAAGUGGAAAAAUAAUUCAUUUUACAUACAACACUUUUAGAAAUAUUCAUAUGGUACACAUCUAAUUUUAUCUGUGGUUUCUUUAAAAUUAUCUAAAUUGAAAUGUCUUUGUUAUGAAGAGACUUAAAAUUAUAUAAGUACUGGAACUCAAUGCUGAAUCAAACUGGUUCACCUAAGCAUAGAACUCUCCUUUCUGUGUUUCUGCUGCACUAAUACUGGGGACGGGGGAAGGAAGAAUUAACUCAGAGUAGAAGCGAGUGGUGAGUGAAGCAGGUAGCAACUUAACACUGCAUAUGAUUUUGCUGUCUCUUCUUGGCAAAAGACCAUAUUGUGGAACAAAGCUCAGCUCCCAGUGUAAAAAAAAAAAAAAUUCAUCUUUUUAAGAAUGCUAUUAUUGAGCAGUUUGGAUCACCAAAUACAUCUUUUAUGGUUUAUAUUGUGGUGUGUAUCAAACGUUUAGAAUUGUACUUGUAGAAUUUGUAUGUAGAGAGAAAAGUUGGACUAGGUCUUCCCAAGUCACGUGAAUGGAGAGCCCCGUCUGCCUGUGCAUGAAGUGCAAUAAGCCAACCGGAGGAGUGGUGCCCUUCGUCCUUGAGACACCUGCAGCUGCAAACGCUGCGGGUGCCCCCCAAGCCCUCUGUAUAAAUAUCAGAAUAAAUGCACAUUUUUCAUUUUUA
Molecule: RNA transcript, 7991 nt
Organism: Rhinolophus ferrumequinum (greater horseshoe bat)
Lineage: Eukaryota; Metazoa; Chordata; Mammalia; Chiroptera; Rhinolophidae
Gene: QKI
Gene name: QKI, KH domain containing RNA binding
Exons: 8
Source: RefSeq, a predicted model, not a curated record